UUUUUUUUUUUUUUUUUUUUUUUUUUUGCUUUUUAGGGCUGCAUCCAAGGCAUAUGCAAGUUUCCAGGCUAGGCGUCUAAUCUGAGCCCCGGCUGCCAGUCUGUACCCCAGCAAAGUGGAAGCUAGCGGUCAACCGCAACCUACACCAUAGCUCAUGGCAACAUCAGAUCUUCAACCCACUGAGCGAGGCCAGGAAUCAAACCCACAUCCUCAUGGAUCCUAGUUGGGUUCGUUAACCACUGAGCCAUGAAAGGAACUUCGCAAUUGGACAUUUCUAAUGUUAGUUGCAUUUGGAAUGGUAGUGUUACUCCACAUAAUACAGCUUUGGCUGAAUGUUUUGGAGGCUUUAUAAAAUCCUAGCCCUCUCAGUACAUAAGCUCUAAAGAUACAGUCAGAUUACCUGUGCCUAAUGUUGAUUCUAGAAACACAGACCCUUCCAUCAGGUUUUCUUUCACUUAACAUUUCAUUUGACCUGGAAAAGGGAAGUAAAUGGAUUUGAGAACGAGAUGUUUUCAAGCGCGAAUAGUCCUAAUUUCUGUAUUGAAUUUAAAAUGUUAAAAGAGAGACCCCCACGAGAUUUAAACAUGUUGUUGCAACUUCUAAUACAACUAAAAACAUCAGUGCUCUCCUGGAAACUGAUAGAAUGCUGUGUGAAAGAACCAGGGGAAAGAUUGCAAAGGAAGGUGUCAAUUCCAGAGGCUUAAAGAACAAACUUUCUUUCCAUGUAGAAGCGUUCUUGUGGUGAAAUACAAAGAAUAACCCUAAAGGAUAAAACGAAAGUGCAUCGUAGCGGACUUUGUCCACAGGCACUUGCCCAGACUAAGGGUCACUUUAUUGCAAAUUUUUGUCGCAUUUGAGACUUUCCUUCUUAUUUGACAAGUCUCCACUUCUGAGUGUCAAGCCUUGAAGUCUACGUUAUGGUCAGAAGAGAGCUGUGAUGGGAACGGGUGACAGCCAUGAUGGUCUAGACUCAGAGUGACAUGGACAUGCCUGUGUCUUAGGUUUCUCUGUGUUGUUCAAGUUCAGGUCCAGUGAGAUGCCUUCCCCUCCAUAACACAUCCACUCACAUGCUCUCUCAAGUUUCCUCCAGCUCCAAAACUCUAUGACUCUGGGUCUGACCGAGCAUGGGGUAGAAGAAGUGAGAAAUUUAUGGCACUGGCUCUUAAUUUCAAAUUGGAAAAUCCUUACACUUUUAAGUGAACCUGACCUGAUGGCAUAUGUCUCACAAACACAUCAGGAAGAAUAAUUGGCUUUCUCUUCUCAUGGCAACAAAGGGCAGAUUUUGGUAGACCGGAGAGUUUGGGAUACAAAUACCAAAUGCUAAAUAUCUUGGUUCAAGUGCUGCUUCUGUCACAUCCAUAUCAUAUCACUUGAGACAAAUCACUUUGUCUUUUUAUUUGUUUCCCAUCUGUAAAGCAAAGGGAUUGUUUUAUGGGAUUUAAACUCCGCAUCUGAAAACUAAGAAAAUAAAUGAAUACAAAUAAAAAUUCUUAUUUAUUUUGUAUCAACUGCAGAUAAAGUUUGGGCAGAAUGUUAGGAUUAGCUGAUAGAAUGGGGAAAAGAUCUAAUUACGUACAGAAAACCAAGAACACUUAAAAUUAGAAUUAAAGCAAGUUGUUCAGUAAUUUCACAUACGCUUGGGCAUGACUAAAAGCCCUCCUCGGACUACAAAAAUAUAUCUUAAAUUCUUAAGAUUAUAGUAGAUAUCUAUAAAAUCAAUUUGUUCAAGAGCCUUUCAAUUUAUUGCUUAGAUUUGCUGGGACAUUUUGAUAUAUAUAUAGUUCAUACGGAAAUUAUUUUAAAUCAUAAAGUAGACCCUCGUCAUCCUGACAUAGUUUAUCUGUGGUUCUGCUUCGAAGCUGGGAUAUAGAGUCUGUGACUUCUAGAGGCCCCUGCAUGUCCCAGGAAUAUGUGCGUAAUUGGCCUUAACAGAGCUGAAACAGCACAUGGUUUGAGUAUAGAGUAGGCAGAAUUUGACCCCAGGAAGACAGGCAUCAUGCUAAUUUUUAAAAAAUAAGAGCACUUGAAGAAAGCCAGAAAUAAAUCCAGAGUUUCUAUAAACAAGGCAGGGAGAGGCUUACUCAUCACAGGGAAAAGUCAGGCUCAUUAAAGAAGGUAAUUAUUACCUCUGACAUACAGAACUGUGGGCUGCUUUAAAUUAAGGUUCUUAACGAGGCAUUUCAUUGUGUGUCCUUAGCGGAGGGAUUUAAGGAGGCAGACUUUCUUCCAAAGUCAACGGGAGGGGAGUUGUAUGUUCAAGUGUUGCUGGAGGAGAAUAUUUCAGGAACGAACAGUUCGGGAAUACUAAAUACAUAAAACGAAAUACGCGCAAUUUCAGAACAGAUUGCUGGCACGCUGAAUGCCCAUCCGAGCCAUGUGCUUAGAGGAGGGAGAUGUAAACUUUGCCGCAUGCUAAUGAUAUGCUAAUGAGCACUCAUGUUAGACAGAUGACAAGAUCGCGGUCUUUGUUCCUUUUUUGCUAAUGGAACGAAUAAGCCUGAGUAAGCAGUUUUAAGAGAAAGUUGUAAACGUUUACAUUUUUUCCCAUUUUUAUUAGUUUUUCGUUAUGUCACUUCUCUUGCCCAACAGACGUCUUUCUUUUUUUCUUUCUGUACUGUAUCGCGGAUAGGACUUGGGGUGGACUUCAUUUUAUCUGAGAUUUAACAGACUCUCAUCUUCUCCCAAGAGAAGAAUUUGUCUUGCUCUCCAGAAAGAAAUUCUUUUUACCUGACUCUAAGCAGUCCCUUUAUCAAAAAGCAUGUACCGAACACCCCAAUAUCAACUUUUUAUGAUACCCAUAUAUGUAAAGGUAUUAUGUUUUAAGAAAAAUAAAUGGAUUUUCCGUUGAAUACACUUAUUUUAGAAGGUAGAGUUUAUGGCUCUGCUGUUCAAAGUUUAAAAAUACCUCAUCAGACCACACUGCUGUUAUAGGAAAUGAAGAGGGUUGCUGCAUUCUCCUCGUCUUCCCAGCACACACCUAAAUUCUGGAACACCUCUUGCCCAUUAAUAGGAUUUCCCUAAGGACUUUUUACCUGUUCCCCCUAAGAGUAAGUGAUGGGUUAGUAAUUUGAUAACCUUGUUUUCUCCAUCAGAAACCAAGCACCCAGGAGGUAUACUAGCCCAAGGUGGAAUCUAUGAUCUGUACCCACUGUAAAAAAAAUCAGUCUCUUUUUUUAAACUUCAGCAAACAGGAGCAUUUGAGUGUGACCCAUAAUAUCAUUACCUGGUUAAACCCCAUUUCCAGUUAAAUUAAGACGUGCUAUUGUUACUCAUAAGCAUCUCUCCAUGGGAUUUUUAAAGUUGGUUCGUGUCCUUGGUAAGCAUUCAAAAUGUUCUCUAAAGCCAGAUAUUCUGUGACAUGAUCUGUUUUGUCAGCGAAGCUGACCUAGCUUCUGACAGUUUCUAUCGUGAUGUCAUGCUUUAAAUAUGUGUUUAGUCUGUUUUUAAAAUAAAUACCUCAUUUUCUGAAUUUUUUUUUUACAUACUGUCUUUUCAGUUUGUGCAAUUGGUGCAGCUUCUGUUCUUCUCUGUCUUUCUGUCUGUGUUUUUUAUGGAUCAAGGAAAGAUGCCAUACCAUUGGCCAUUUCAAUCAACCCAGUGCAUUCUUUCAGUACACUCCACAUCAUUUGAAAUGGAAAUUCGGGCUACAAAAUUUCUCUCUUUUUAAAAUUUCUAUUAAAUAGUUGCAUUUUCAGGGAAUUUGAAGUUAGAUAUUCACAAUGAGAAUAUUCAGAAUUCUUUUUCAAAUAUAAAUGAAAUAAACUCCUAUAUACACUGUGUCCAAUAUCUCAAUUGUUUGAUUUUUAUUUAAGUUUAAUUCUAUUCGCAUAUAAUCCAUUCCCAUAAAAGGAUUCAUUACAUUAAUCAAUGGCCACAUCUUCAAUUCUCAAUUCUAUGUAGGCACCAGGAGACCACAGCCACAGAGAAAGCAUGCCUCAGAUAUGCAUCUUUGAGAAUAUUCCAUUUAAAUGCAUAUAAAUAAUAAUAAUUUCAUUAAAUUGCAAUAUUUAGUCACGGAGGGAUUUUAUUGAACUCUCCCAUUCUCUCCACAGUUAUCAGAUCCUUAAUCUAAAUCAUACCAUCCUGUAAAUAGUAUGUCUUAAUACUAUUAAGGUCACUUUUCUCACCGGUGAUUUAAAAGGGUUAUAAGUGUCCUUUUCAUAUUUUGCAAUUAUUGAGAGGAUUUCUUUGACAAAGUGCAUUUAUAGUCAUGGUUAUAGUUGUAAAAGCUAAUAGCUCUUGGGGCUCUAAACAUAUUCUAAUCCUGAAUUAUAGAUGAGAAGAUGGAAAUUCUAAGGAGUUUCAUAUCAAUCCAAAGUGAGUACACAAUUUUAUCAAUAGUUAAAUGAAAGACGGAAAGCAUGAUCUGAAUUUCAUGAUCCGUCAGCUUUUGAUUUAUUGUAAUAAAAUAAGUCUGGAAUCAUGACCAAAUGCAAUCUACUGGGAAAUCGUUCAAAACAACCCUGCAGUUAUCGAACAUGCUGGUAAAGCCCCAUGUUGAUGUUUUUGAAAUUUGCGUUUGUUAACGGUUUCUGACACUUGGGGCAGCUAAGUUUUGGAGAAUAUUCCAAGAAAGCUUGAGCAUUAGUUUUUAAGAGAACUUUUAAAAGCGUUGAUUUAACAUUUUUAUCACACCUCAACCACAAGCUCGUGGCCACCCCUGUGACGUUUGAGCCAAUCCAAGGUAAAUUCCCCAAGAUACCUCCAAAGGCAGCUUCACAGGUAACUGUCCUCAAAUUAGGCACCUGCCACACCCCUCGUCUCCCAGCAAAGGCAGCCGGAGUUCUUGCUGCACUUUUGCUCUGGAUUUCAUCUCUUUAAACCCUUGCAGGGCCUCAUCAACAUUUUUGAUUUUUUCAUCCUCAUCCUUCAUGAAACCCCUUCUCUCUUUAAACACAUUCAAUUUCCAUUACCCUGAAAACCAUAUAAAACCCCAUCACUUGAUAUCGCUGCUGCUAAUUGCUAUCCUGGAUGCCACCAUUUUCCUUCUUUCUUUUCUUUUUUUGUUUUGUUUUGUUUUGUUUUUUAGGGCCACACCNCUGCCAGCCUACACCACAGCCACAGCAAGGCAGGAUCCGAGUGGAGUCUGUGACCCACACCACAGCUCAUGGCAACACCAGAUCCUUAACCCACUGAGCGAGGUCAGGGAUCAAACCCGCCACUUCAUGGUUCUUAGUCCGAUUCGUUUCCGAGACACCCCAACAGGAGCACCUUCUUCUUUCUUUUCUUGCCAAAUCUAAAAAUGUCCAUAACUCAUUGGUCCUUAAAUAUAGUACUUUAUGAAAGAAGUUUAUCAGACAUUUGAUACUGUGCUAAGGAGGUAAAGAAAAAUCGAUCCUGGCCACCAAGACACACUUAGAACGUGUUCUUCUAUCUGCCCCUCCCCCACGUUCCCCAAUUCUCCUCUCUGUGUAUGUAAAUUUACCAAAAGUCAUUCUUUCUUUAAAUACAUGCCA
Molecule: long non-coding RNA, 5456 nt
Filed under: Sus scrofa (pig)
Lineage: Eukaryota; Metazoa; Chordata; Mammalia; Artiodactyla; Suidae
Description: lncRNA (ENSSSCG00065000061.1)
Source: RNAcentral